GGCAGCUAGACGAUCGCGUGCCAUUGGCAUGAGGAAAGUCCGAGCACCACAGGGCAGGGUGCCAGUUAACGGCUGGUGGAGGCGACUCCAAGGAGAGUGCAACAGAAAGAAACCGCCGGGCAACCGGUAAGGAUGGAAAGGCGAGGUAAGAGCUCACCCACGGCUUGGCAACUUGUCCGUGCUGUAAACCCCACCCGGUGCAAGAUGCAAUGGAACAUAUAUGGCGGCCCGUCAUGUUCCGCAAUCGCUUGAAUCCGCGCGGCAACGUCGGAUCUGGAUAGAUGAUCGUCCUCGACAGAACUCGGCUUACGGCUGUGCUC
This 320-nucleotide RNase P RNA is filed under the name bovine gut metagenome. Its description in RNAcentral is "Bacterial RNase P class A". It matches the Rfam family "Bacterial RNase P class A". From Rfam's summary of the family: Ribonuclease P (RNase P) is a ubiquitous endoribonuclease, found in archaea, bacteria and eukarya as well as chloroplasts and mitochondria. The record is from RNAcentral.